CGCGCGGACCGGGCCCCUCUGGCGAGUUUCUCUCGUGAUGUCGGACGCAUUG
This is a regulatory RNA element of 52 nucleotides. It matches the Rfam family "terC RNA". The record is from Rfam.